This 500-nucleotide ribosomal RNA is filed under the name uncultured bacterium. Its description in RNAcentral is "partial 16S ribosomal RNA". It matches the Rfam family "Bacterial small subunit ribosomal RNA", at positions 30 to 523 of the family's 1533-position model. The record is from RNAcentral.
AUUGAACGCUGGCGGAAUGCUUUACACAUGCAAGUCGAACGGCAGCACGGACUUCGGUCUGGUGGCGAGUGGCGAACGGGUGAGUAAUGUAUCGGAACGUGCCCAGUCGUGGGGGAUAACGUAGUGAAAAUUACGCUAAUACCGCAUACGAUCUAAGGAUGAAAGCGGGGGAUCGCAAGACCUCGCGCGAUUGGAGCGGCCGAUAUCAGAUUAGGUAGUUGGUGGGGUAAAGGCUCACCAAGCCAACGAUCUGUAGCUGGUCUGAGAGGACGACCAGCCACACUGGAAAUGGGACACGGUCCAGACUCCUACGGGAGGCAGCAGUGGGGAAUUUUGGACAAUGGGCGAAAGCCUGAUCCAGCCAUUCCGCGUGCAGGAUGAAGGCCCUCGGGUUGUAAACUGCUUUUGUACAGAACGAAAAGGUUUCUACUAAUACUAGGAGCUCAUGACGGUACUGUAAGAAUAAGCACCGGCUAACUACGUGCCAGCCGCCGCCGUAA